Molecule: non-coding RNA, 295 nt
Organism: Streptomyces acidiscabies
Lineage: Bacteria; Bacillati; Actinomycetota; Actinomycetes; Kitasatosporales; Streptomycetaceae
Source: Rfam
UCGUCGGCGAUCUGCGGGCAGAUGAAGUGGACGUGCGCGUCGACCCCGCCCGCCGUGACGAUCCGCCCGUUGCCCGCGAUGAUCUCGGUCUCGGGCCCGAUGACGAGGUCCGGGUGGACGCCGUCCAUGGUGUCGGGGUUGCCCGCCUUGCCGAUCCCGGUGAUCCGCCCGUCGCGGAUGCCGAUGUCGGCCUUGACGAUCCCCCAGUGGUCCACGAUGACCGCGCCCGUGAUGACCGUGUCCGGCGUGCCGUCUGCGCGCGUAGCACGCGCCUGCCCCAUGGACUCCCGGAUGA